UUGAUCUCAAAUCAGGUAGGACUACCCGCUGAACUUAAGCAUAUCAAUAAGCGGAGGAAAAGAAACUAACAAGGAUUCCCCUAGUAACUGCGAGUGAAGCGGGAAGAGCUCAAAUUUAAAAUCUGGCGUGCCUCUGGUCGUCCGAGUUGUAGUCUGGAGAAGCGUCUUCCGUGUUGGACCGUGUAUAAGUCUCUUGGAACAGGGCGUCAUAGAGGGUGAGAAUCCCGUCUUUGACACGGACUACCAAUGCUUUGUGAUGCGCUCUCAAAGAGUCGAGUUGUUUGGGAAUGCAGCUCAAAAUGGGUGGUAAAUUCCAUCUAAAGCUAAAUAUAGGCGAGAGACCGAUAGCGAACAAGUACCGUGAGGGAAAGAUGAAAAGCACUUUGGAAAGAGAGUUAAACAGUACGUGAAAUUGCUGAAAGGGAAACGCUUGAAGUCAGUCAUGUCUGCCAGGACUCAGCCUUGCUUCUGCUUGGUGUACUUUCUGGUUUGAUGGGCCAACAUCAAUUUUGACCGUUGGAGAAAGGCUCUGGGAAUGUGGCACCUCCGGGUGUGUUAUAGCCCUUUGUUGUAUACUACGGUUGGGAUUGAGGACCGCAGCACGCCUUCAUGGCCGGGGUUCGCCCACGUACGUGCUUAGGAUGUUGGCAUAAUGGCUUUAACCGACCCGUCUUGAAA
This 678-nucleotide ribosomal RNA is filed under the name uncultured fungus. RNAcentral describes it as "eukaryotic LSU rRNA". It matches the Rfam family "Eukaryotic large subunit ribosomal RNA", at positions 1 to 659 of the family's 3401-position model. The record is from RNAcentral. Lineage: Eukaryota; Fungi.